UGGGGAAUAUUGGGCAAUGGGGGAAACCCUGACCCAGCAACGCCGCGUGAGGGAAGAAGGUUUUCGGAUUGUAAACCCCUGUCCUAUGGGAAGAAGGAAGUGACGGUACCAUAGGAGGAAGCUCCGGCAAACUACGUGCCAGCAGCCGCGGUAAUACGUAGGGAGCGAGCGUUGUCCGGAAUUACUGGGCGUAAAGGGUGCGUAGGCGGUCCUGUAAGUUGGAUGUGAAAUACCCGGGCUCAACCUGGGGGGUGCAUGCAAAACUGUGGGACUAGAGUACGGGAGAGGAAAGCGGAAUUCCUAGUGUAGCGGUGAAAUGCGUAGAUAUUAGGAGGAACACCAGUGGCGAAGGCGGCUUUCUGGACCGAAACUGACGCUGAGGCACGAAAGCGUGGGGAGCAAACAGGAUUAGAUACCCUGGUAGU
This 425-nucleotide ribosomal RNA is filed under the name uncultured bacterium. Its description in RNAcentral is "bacterial SSU rRNA". It matches the Rfam family "Bacterial small subunit ribosomal RNA", at positions 355 to 794 of the family's 1533-position model. The record is from RNAcentral.